AAUCAACGCUGGCGGCGUGCCUCAGACAUGCAAGUCGAACGAUUAAAGCUCUCUUCGGAGAGUGUAUAGAGUGGCGCACGGGUGAGUAACACGUAAGUAAUCUACCCUCGGAGUGGGGAAUAACAACCGGAAACGGUUGCUAAUACCGCAUAAUGCAGCGGCACCGCAAGGUGACAGUGUUAAAGAUUUAUCGCUUGAGGAGGAGCUUGCGGCAGAUUAGCUAGUUGGUAGGGUAACGGCUUACCAAGGCUACGAUCUGUAACCGGUCUAAGAGGACGGUCGGUCACACUGACACUGAAUAACGGGUCAGACUCCUACGGAGGCAGCAGUCGGGAAUUUUGGGCAAUGGGCGAAAGCCUGACCCAGCAACGCCGCCGUGAAGGA
Molecule: ribosomal RNA, 384 nt
Filed under: uncultured bacterium
Lineage: Bacteria
Description: bacterial SSU rRNA
Rfam family: Bacterial small subunit ribosomal RNA
Source: RNAcentral